AGAAUCACUUAACCAUACAAUACUUACUGCCUUCAUAUAAUUGAUUACCCCAAUCGCAUAAUCGAUUAUCUAUCUUCUGACUAAUUCAAAUAUUGUCCAUAAUCGAUUAUUCAGGUUUAAUAAUCGAUUCUCAAACGGUCAGUAUUCGAAUUUUGUUACCGUUUGGCUCCUGCAACACUCACAUAAUCGAUUUUUUUCCUUCUGAGUACAAUUCAAAAGUCCUUAAUAAUCGAUUAUUUCGACUACAUAAUCGAUUAUGC
Molecule: long non-coding RNA, 260 nt
Filed under: Nicotiana benthamiana
Lineage: Eukaryota; Viridiplantae; Streptophyta; Magnoliopsida; Solanales; Solanaceae
Description: long non-coding RNA (NBEN_LNC026191)
Source: RNAcentral